This 699-nucleotide small RNA is filed under the name Histoplasma ohiense. RNAcentral's name for it is "hypothetical lncRNA". Lineage: Eukaryota; Fungi; Ascomycota; Eurotiomycetes; Onygenales; Ajellomycetaceae. The record is from RNAcentral.
UUGCCAAUUGGCCUGAUAGCGCUUUUUGAAUGACUUGUGAUGGAGGCAUGAAUUUGGGAAGGACAACAGUUCAUUCUAUCAAGGGUCAAUAAACCGAAAUGCUGUUCAUGAAGCCCCGCCUCAUGGAACCUCCCCAGAGUGUGUUAUUUAAGGGCAGAAGCAAAUCUACAGCCUAGCAUCGCUGGGAGAAUAUCAUAUCUCGCAGUUACGCCAUCGCAUAUGCCCUACUAUUUACGGCUUCGGACGUUCUAGAUAUCACUUCCCAUGCAUUAAAUGCCCUACAGCAGACACACCGCCAAAUCAAGCAAGCUCUUUGUACAGUUUAUCUGAGUGUCAAAAGGUUCCUGCAAACGUCCACUUGACAGCCGAAAAGACCGUUUUUCCCUGCUUCUGCUUCAUUAGAGCCAACAUGGGAUCAAUGUUCCUUGGGGGCAUCGUACCCACCAAGCUGUCAACUUCCUCGUGGAGUCAAUCCUUGAAAAUAUCAUGUUCCAUAGGCUAGAGAGCAUAAAUAAAUGUUUCCAGUUGUUCUUAGAACAUAUAAAGACCUGGGGAGAACGGGCUGUGAGCAUGGAGAGCGAAGCAAGACGAGGCAUCCUAAUUCAUAUUAAUGUACUGUACAUUGCCGGUCUCCUGCUAAAUGGGAGCCUCGAGAAUUUGAAUUGCAAUAUCUACCAAAAGAUAGCCAGAAAAAUAGCG